Molecule: unclassified non-coding RNA, 216 nt
Filed under: Hevea brasiliensis (rubber tree)
Lineage: Eukaryota; Viridiplantae; Streptophyta; Magnoliopsida; Malpighiales; Euphorbiaceae
Source: RNAcentral
UGGAGUGCUGCUGCACGGUUACUAAGAUCUUAUUAUCCUUUAAUCACACCAGCUGGGCAGAAUGGCCUUGCUAGUGCACUUACUAAGUCAGCCCAGAGGUUGCCUUCCGGAACUCGCUGUGCUGAUCCAGCCUUACCUUUCGUAAGGUUAUAUUCCUUUCCUCCCUAUCCCUGUCAAAUGGACAUUGUAAAACGCAAUCCAGCAAGAGAAGACUGG